Molecule: ribosomal RNA, 468 nt
Filed under: uncultured bacterium
Lineage: Bacteria
Description: partial 16S ribosomal RNA
Rfam family: Bacterial small subunit ribosomal RNA
Source: RNAcentral
GACGAACGCUGGCGGCGUGCUUAACACAUGCAAGUCGAACGGAAAGGCCCUGCUUUUGUGGGGUGCUCGAGUGGCGAACGGGUGAGUAACACGUGAGUAACCUGCCCUUGACUUUGGGAUAACUUCAGGAAACUGGGGCUAAUACCGGAUAGGAGCUCCUGCUGCAUGGUGGGGGUUGGAAAGUUUCGGCGGUUGGGGAUGGACUCGCGGCUUAUCAGCUUGUUGGUGGGGUAGUGGCUUACCAAGGCUUUGACGGGUAGCCGGCCUGAGAGGGUGACCGGCAACAUUGGGACUGAGAGACGGCCCAGACUCCAACGGGGGGCAGCAGUGGGGAAUAUGGCACAAAGGGCGGAAGCCUGAUGCAGCAACGCCGCGUGCGGGAUGACGGCCUUCGGGUUGUAAACCGCUUUCGCCGGUGACGAAGCGUGAGUGACGGUAAUGGGUAAAGAAGCACCGGCUAACUACGUG